RNAcentral lists this long non-coding RNA (435 nucleotides) under Salvia miltiorrhiza (redroot sage). Its description in RNAcentral is "long non-coding RNA (SMIL_LNC000970)". The record is from RNAcentral. Lineage: Eukaryota; Viridiplantae; Streptophyta; Magnoliopsida; Lamiales; Lamiaceae.
CUUAAUGUAUUUGGGUAUGAACACUUCACCAUUUUACAUGAAUUAUUUCGUAUACACUCGUGCACUUAAAAAUAACCAAUAAAAAUAACAAAACAUAACAGAAAAUUGAUAUAAAUAAUUGUGCAGUAAAUGUUACUAAUUCAAAAAGAAUACAAUCAAGAUUUAUACGAAGUUAAAAAAUAACAAAUAAUCAAGAACUGAUUACCGGUGAAGCAUGAGUUCAAACUAUACAACAUUAACAAACAAAAACAAUAAAAAAAAUUGAAUGAUGAAAAUAUAAAAUUGGUAUUAACAACCCUAUAUUUGGGUAUGAACACUUCACCAUUUUGCAUGCAUUAUUUCGUAUACACUCGUGCACUUAUAAUCAACCAAUAAAAAUAAUAAAAAAUAGCAUAAAAUUGAACUAAAGAAUUGUGCAGAAUAUGUUACUAAUUC